This 301-nucleotide ribosomal RNA is filed under the name uncultured bacterium. RNAcentral's name for it is "partial 16S ribosomal RNA". It matches the Rfam family "Bacterial small subunit ribosomal RNA", at positions 509 to 807 of the family's 1533-position model. The record is from RNAcentral.
CAGCCGCCGCGGUAAUACGGAGGGUGCAAGCGUUAAUCGGAAUUACUGGGCGUAAAGCGCACGCAGGCGGUCUGACAAGUCAGAUGUGAAAUCCCCGGGCUUAACCUGGGAACUGCAUUUGAAACUGUCAGGCUGGAGUCUUGUAGAGGUGGGUGGAAUUCCAGGUGUAGCGGUGAAAUGCGUAGAGAUCUGGAGGAAUACCGGUGGCGAAGGCGGCCCCCUGGACAAAGACUGACGCUCAGGUGCGAAAGCGUGGGGAGCAAACAGGAUUAGAUACCCCUGUAGUCCCUGUCUCUUAUAC